CGCCUGAGCGCGGCCGCCGCCGUCCGGGCUUGGCUGGGGGUCCCCGGGGAGGAGGGCGCAGCUGUGCCUCAGUCGGAGCGCGGCGGGGCCGAGGACGCGGGGAAGGGUUUCUGUGGAGAAAUGUGUGUUGUGCGCUCCGAGCCCGAGAAACGGUCUUGGAAAUAAAGCAGGAAUUCCUCUCCAGGCCAAACGCAGCAUGUGAAGAUUUUCACGGAGCGCUCUCUGAAGCGAAACCUUCCCAGGAAGAGGGGGACGGAGGAGCUGAGGAAGGAAUAAAGCCGGAAUUCGGGGCACUGCUUUCUUCCAGCCCCAAUUACAGGGCUGGAUUCCGCGGCUAAUUAGAAUCAAAUGCUCCCAAUGAAUUCAGGGGAAGCAGCGCUACGCUCAACUCGGCCCGGAGGCUGCGGGGAGAGCGGGGCGGCACCGGGCGGCUCGGGGCGCACAGAGCACCGCAUUCCUCUCCCGGUAACGACCGACUGAAUAGCUAAAAAGCA
Molecule: long non-coding RNA, 494 nt
Organism: Gallus gallus (chicken)
Lineage: Eukaryota; Metazoa; Chordata; Aves; Galliformes; Phasianidae
Source: Ensembl